Molecule: long non-coding RNA, 671 nt
Organism: Oncorhynchus tshawytscha (Chinook salmon)
Lineage: Eukaryota; Metazoa; Chordata; Actinopteri; Salmoniformes; Salmonidae
Source: Ensembl
GAGAGGGUUUUACCAGUCUAGUUUUUAUAGUGGAGGGUAAGGGUUAAGGGUUUUACCAGUCUAGUUUUUAUAGUGCAGGGUAAGGGUUAGUGGUGAGGGUUUUACCAGUCUAGUUUUUAUAGUGGAGGGUUAGUGGUGAGGGUUUAACAAGUCUAGUUUUUAUAGUGGAGGGUAAGGGUUAGUGGUGAGGGUUUUACCAGUCUAGUUUUUAUAGUGGAGGGUAAGGGUUAGUGGAGAGGGUUUAACCAGUCUAGUUUUUAUAGUGGAGGGUAAGGGUUAGUGGGGAGGGUUUUACCAGUCUAGUUUUUAUAGUGGGGGAUAAGGGUUAGCGGUGAGGGUUUAACCAGUCUAGUUGUUAUAGUGGAGGGUAAGGGUUAGUGGUGAGGGUUUUACCAGUCUAGUUUUUAUAGUGGAGGGUUAGUGGUGAGGGUUUAACCAGUCUAGUUUUUAUAGUGGAGGGUAAGGGUUAGUGGUGAGGGUUUAACCAGUCUAGUUGUUAUAGUGGAGGGUAAGGGUUAGUGGUGAGGGUUUUACCAGUCUAGUUUUUAUAGUGGAAGGUUAGUCGUGAGGGUUUAACCAGUCUAGUUUUAUAGUGGAGGGUAAGGGUUAGUGGUGAGGGUUUAACCAGUCUAGUUUUUAUAGUGGAGGGUAAGGGUUAGUGGUGAGGGUUU